Molecule: ribosomal RNA, 502 nt
Filed under: uncultured Glomeromycotina
Lineage: Eukaryota; Fungi; Glomeromycota
Description: partial small subunit ribosomal RNA
Rfam family: Eukaryotic small subunit ribosomal RNA
Source: RNAcentral
CCAAUAGCGUAUAUUAAAGUUGUUGCAGUUAAAAAGCUCGUAGUUGAACUUCGGGGUUUACCCAUUGGUCAGGCUUAAUUGUCUGCACUGGUGAGAUAAAUCUCUACCUUCUGAGGAACUUUCAUGCCAUUUAUUUGGUGUGAUGGGAAAUCAGGACUGUUACUUUGAAAAAAUUAGAGUGUUUAAAGCAGGCUAACGUCUGAAUACAUUAGCAUGGAAUAAUGAAAUAGGACGGACUGAUUCUAUUUCGUUGGUUUCUAGGAUCACCGUAAUGAUUAAUAGGGAUAGUUGGGGGCAUUAGUAUUCAAUUGUCAGAGGUGAAAUUCUUGGAUUUAUUGAAGACUAACUACUGCGAAAGCAUUUGCCAAGGAUGUUUUCAUUAAUCAAGAACGAAAGUUAGGGGAUCGAAGACGAUCAGAUACCGUCGUAGUCUUAACCAUAAACUAUGCCGACUAGGGAUCGGAUGAUGUUAAUUUUUUAAUGACUCAUUCGGCGCCUUACG